CCGCAUUAGGGAUUGAAACGGCAUCCUUUUUUUGCUUUUAUAUAUGGCAAAAAAAGAUACAGUGUAAAGCCCGACCUUUA
Molecule: small RNA, 80 nt
Filed under: Mesonia algae
Lineage: Bacteria; Pseudomonadati; Bacteroidota; Flavobacteriia; Flavobacteriales; Flavobacteriaceae
Description: Flavo-1 RNA
Rfam family: Flavo-1 RNA
Source: RNAcentral